GAUGAACGCUGGCGGCGUGCCUAAUACAUGCAAGUCGAGCGAACAGACGAGGAGCUUGCUCCUCCGACGUUAGCGGCGGACGGGUGAGUAACACGUAGGUAACCUACCUAUAAGACUGGGAUAACUUCGGGAAACCGGAGCUAAUACCGGAUAAUAUUUCGAACCGCAUGGUUCGAUAGUGAAAGAUGGCUUUGCUAUCACUUAUAGAUGGACCUGCGCCGUAUUAGCUAGUUGGUAAGGUAACGGCUUACCAAGGCAACGAUGCGUAGCCGACCUGAGAGGGUGAUCGGCCACACUGGAACUGAGACACGGUCCAGACUCCUACGGGAGGCAGCAGUAGGGAAUCUUCCGCAAUGGGCGAAAGCCUGACGGAGCAACGCCGCGUGAGUGAUGAAGGUCUUCGGAUCGUAAAACUCUGUUAUUAGGGAAGAACAAACGUGUAAGUAACUGUGCACGUCUUGACGGUACCUAAUCAGAAAGCCACGGCUAACUACGUG
RNAcentral lists this ribosomal RNA (497 nucleotides) under uncultured bacterium. RNAcentral describes it as "partial 16S ribosomal RNA". It matches the Rfam family "Bacterial small subunit ribosomal RNA", at positions 28 to 507 of the family's 1533-position model. The record is from RNAcentral.